This 466-nucleotide ribosomal RNA is filed under the name uncultured bacterium. RNAcentral's name for it is "partial 16S ribosomal RNA". It matches the Rfam family "Bacterial small subunit ribosomal RNA", at positions 28 to 507 of the family's 1533-position model. The record is from RNAcentral.
GAUGAACGCUGGCGGCGUGCUUAACACAUGCAAGUCGAACGAUGAAGCCCAGCUUGCUGGGUGGAUUAGUGGCGAACGGGUGAGUAACACGUGAGUACCCUGCCCUUAACUCUGGGAUAAGCCUGGGAAACUGGGUCUAAUACCGGAUAGGAGCUUCCACCGCAUGGUGGGUGUUGGAAAGCUUUAUCGGUUUUGGAUGGACUCGCGGCCUAUCAGCUUGUUGGUGAGGUAAUGGCUCACCAAGGCGACGACGGGUAGCCGGCCUGAGAGGGUGACCGGCCACACUGGGACUGAGACACGGCCCAGACUCCUACGGGAGGCAGCAGUGGGGAAUAUUGCACAAUGGGCGCAAGCCUGAUGCAGCGACGCCGCGUGAGGGAUGACGACCUGCGGGUUGUAAACCUCUUUCAGUAGGGAAGAAGCGAAAGUGACGGUACCUGCAGAAGAAGCACCGGCUAACUACGUG